GGACGAACGCUGGCGGCGUGCUUAACACAUGCAAGUCGAACGCUGAAGGCCCAGCUUGCUGGGUUGGAUGAGUGGCGAACGGGUGAGUAACACGUGAGUAACCUGCCCCCUUCUUUGGGAUAACGGUCGGAAACGGCUGCUAAUACCGGGUAUUCACUGUCCUUCGCAUGGGGGGUGGUGGAAAGGUUUUUUCUGGUGGGGGAUGGGCUCGCGGCCUAUCAGCUUGUUGGUGGGGUGAUGGCUUACCAAGGCUUUGACGGGUAACCGGCCUGAGAGGGUGACCGGUCACAUUGGGACUGAGAUACGGCCCAGACUCCUACGGGAGGCAGCAGUGGGGAAUAUUGCACAAUGGGCGAAAGCCUGAUGCAGCGACGCCGCGUGAGGGAUGACGGCCUUCGGGUUGUAAACCUCUUUCGCUCAUGGUCAAGCCGCAACUGUGGUUGUGGUGAGGGUAGUGGGUAAAGAAGCACCGGCUAACUACGU
This 483-nucleotide ribosomal RNA is filed under the name Actinomycetaceae bacterium 'ARUP UnID 87'. Its description in RNAcentral is "bacterial SSU rRNA". It matches the Rfam family "Bacterial small subunit ribosomal RNA", at positions 27 to 506 of the family's 1533-position model. Lineage: Bacteria; Bacillati; Actinomycetota; Actinomycetes; Actinomycetales; Actinomycetaceae. The record is from RNAcentral.